AAAGAAUUAGUUAAAUCUUAUAACAUAAAUAUGUCAAAUUUAAAUUAUUAUUUUAUAUAAAUAAUAUUCUUUU
This 73-nucleotide transfer RNA is filed under the name Zeuzera multistrigata. Its description in RNAcentral is "tRNA-Asp". The record is from RNAcentral. Lineage: Eukaryota; Metazoa; Arthropoda; Insecta; Lepidoptera; Cossidae.